AUGACUCAAUCGAGUCUCUCUUAUGAGUGGUCAGGAUGACUGAUCAAAGUCGGACUUGAUCAUUUAUGGUUAAGAUUUUUUAGUAUGAUCAUAUUAAUGGUUGGACCUAACUAGAUCUUUCAGUAGAGGCCAAAGCUUACUAUUAGGAUCUUGAGGUAAAAUUAACUACUAAAAAUUAUUUGAUGAAACAAUUGGUUAAGAACCUACCCGUAGAAUGC
This 218-nucleotide long non-coding RNA is filed under the name Elaeis guineensis (African oil palm). Its description in RNAcentral is "long non-coding RNA (EGUI_LNC067202)". Lineage: Eukaryota; Viridiplantae; Streptophyta; Magnoliopsida; Arecales; Arecaceae. The record is from RNAcentral.